CAAAGACUUAGUCCUAACCUUGCUGUUAGUUAUUGCUAAAAUUACACAUGCAAGUCUCAGCAUGCCAGUGAGAAAUCCCUAGCAGUUCUACUAAACUAAAGGAGUUGGUAUCAGGCACACCAUGAUAGCCCACAACACCUAGCUUCUGCCACUCCCCCAAGGGUAAUCAGCAGUGAUAAAAAUUAAGCAAUGAGCAUAAGCUUGACUUAAUUAUAGCAAACAGAGCUGGUAAAUCUUGUGCCAGCCACCGCGGUCAUACAAGAAGCUCGAACUAACAAACAACGGCGUAAAAUGUGACUAAAAUAAUCUAAAAAAUUAAGGUAAACUCACUACUUAAUUGUUAUACGUAAAAGUACAUACUUACACAUUAUGAAAAUAACCUUAACAAAAUAGAUCCAUUUGAACUCACGAUUGCUAAGACACAAACUGGGAUUAGAUACCCCACUAUGCUUAGCCCUAAACUUAGAUAUUUUUAAUACAAAAAUAUUCGCCAGAGAAUUACGAGCUAAACAUGCUUAAAACUCUAAGGACUUGGCGGUACCUCAAACCCACCUAGAGGAGCCUGUUCUAUAAUCGACAAUCCACGAUUCACCUCACCAUCUCUUGCCAACUCCGCCUAUAUACCGCCGUCAUAGCCUACCUUAUGAAAGAUAAAAAGUAAGCAAAAUAAUCUAAACAAUUAAUAAAUCAGGUCAAGGUGUAGCUUACUGAGAUGGAAGAAAUGGGCUACAUUUUCUAUAUUAGAAAUAACUACGGAAAGAUACCUUGAAACAGGUUCUACAAGCAGGAUUUAGCAGUAAACUGGGAAAAGAGAGCCCAAUUUAAGCCGGUCCUGAGGUACGCACACACCGCCCGUCACCCUCCUCAAUAAUCUAAUCACAAAUAAAUAAACUAUAACAAAUAAAAAGAUGAGGCAAGUCGUAACAAGGUAAGUGUACCGGAAGGUGUACUUGGAAUAAC
Molecule: non-coding RNA, 960 nt
Filed under: Kinosternon leucostomum (white-lipped mud turtle)
Lineage: Eukaryota; Metazoa; Chordata; Testudines; Kinosternidae
Description: 12S ribosomal RNA
Rfam family: Bacterial small subunit ribosomal RNA
Source: RNAcentral